CUUGACGACCAUAGAGCAUUGGAACCACCUGAUCCCAUCCCGAACUCAGCAGUGAAACGAUGCAU
Molecule: ribosomal RNA, 65 nt
Filed under: Neorhizobium galegae
Lineage: Bacteria; Pseudomonadati; Pseudomonadota; Alphaproteobacteria; Hyphomicrobiales; Rhizobiaceae
Also listed under: 4 other names
Source: RNAcentral